The sequence is a ribosomal RNA, 412 nucleotides long. It matches the Rfam family "Archaeal large subunit ribosomal RNA", at positions 1952 to 2682 of the family's 2987-position model.
UGCUCAGUGAUUUUUAACAGCCGCAGUACAUUGACUGUGCUAAGGUAGCAUAAUAAUUUGGCCUUUAAUUGGGGUCUAGAAUGAAAGGAAUAACAUGAAAGUACUGUCUCUAUUAUAUUUUUUAGAAAUUACUAACGAAGUGAAAAUUCUUCGAAGGGAAAAAAAGACGAGAAGACCCUAAGAAUUUGUAGUAAAUUAUAUAAUAUAUUAGGGUUUUUGUUGGGGCGACAAAUUUUCAUGGAACAAAAUUAUUUUUAGGGACAAGAAUUUUUUAAGAAGGAAUAAAUUACCUUAGGGAUAACAGCAUAAUAUUUUAUGAUUGUGACCUCGAUGUUGGACUAGGAAAGCACACUACUAACCGUAAUGUUUAUAGGUUCUGUUCGAACUUUUUCUCCUACGUGAUCUGAGUUCA